UAAUUUAAGGUCUAGCCUGCCCACUGAUAUUUUAAAUGGCCGUGGUAUUUUGACCGUGCUAAGGUAGCAUAAUCAUUAGUUUUUUAAUUAAAAACUGGAAUGAAAGGUUGGAUGAGAAAAUAGCUGUCUCUAUUAAAUUUAAUUAGAAUUUUAUUUUUAAGUUAAAAAGCUUAAUUGUUAUUAAAAGACGAGAAGACCCUAUAGAGUUUAAUUAUUUAAUAAAAAUUAUAUUUUAGUAUUAAUUUAUUUAUUUUAUUGAAUAAUUUAAUUGGGGUGAUUGAAAAAUUUAAUUAACUUUUUUUAUUUAAGAACAUUAAUUUAUGAAUAAAUGAUCCGAUAUUUUUGAUUAUAAGAUAAAAUUACCUUAGGGAUAACAGCGUAAUUUUUUUAGAAAGUUCAUAUUAAAAAAAAAGAUUGCGACCUCGAUGUUGGAUUAAAAUAAAUUUUUGGUAUAGAAGCUAAAAUAUUAGGUCUGUUCGACCUUUAAAAUUUUA
Molecule: ribosomal RNA, 494 nt
Filed under: Oreina gloriosa
Lineage: Eukaryota; Metazoa; Arthropoda; Insecta; Coleoptera; Chrysomelidae
Description: partial 16S large subunit ribosomal RNA
Rfam family: Bacterial large subunit ribosomal RNA
Source: RNAcentral